This 818-nucleotide long non-coding RNA is filed under the name Equus caballus (horse). RNAcentral's name for it is "lncRNA (ENSECAG00000035103.3)". Lineage: Eukaryota; Metazoa; Chordata; Mammalia; Perissodactyla; Equidae. The record is from RNAcentral.
UGAAUAUGAAAAAUUUAAAGGAUCUUGACAUCCCAUCAGACUGAUUUCCAAAACCUUUGUAUCCUUUUAUGAGUAUCCUAAGAGUACUUUUUCCACCAUACCGUUAACAGCACUGCAGGAUUAGGAGCUGAAGGCCCUCAUGUACAGCAGAAGGAAGAGAGCAAAAUGCAAGGAUGUCUAAAACCAAGGAAGAAAAGAACAGAAGGAAGAGGUUGGGAGCCUCAGGGAAAGUCUCGAAGGCUUGGAAAUACACACUGAGGAAUGGAAGAAGAAACUGGCCAUAGGCAUGUAGCAGAACACCUGAGAGGCCAUUACCCCACACGUCUUCCCAGCCUGACUUCCAUGGUUUAUUAAUCUUCCAGUGCUUUGGACUCUCAGCGUCUCUGUGGAAUUUCAUAGACAAGCAGGCAAGGACAGAGAUGAAGUUAUAAGAAGAGCCAGAGCUGUGUGGUGGCUUCUCAGCAGGCCUGGUCUCAACCAACCGGAAGGUUUUUUAUCUUCAACUUAGUAGCCCAUUUUCUUUCUUUCUUCCCAUCCCCACACUCACCACUCCCUCCCUGCUUUCUUGUUAGUAGUAAGGCGUUCCCAAACCCCUCUAUUUCUCUCUGCAUUUCCCCCACCAUUUGCAGACUCUCUACAAUGAUGCUGGGAGAAGCGAAGGCCCCUGCACUCCAAAGGGACCACAUACCAAGGGAACAGUAGUGAAGGACAAAGAGAGAGACAUCGAAGGAGGGAGAGUCGACAUAGGAUGUAUGACCACACUGGCCAUUGUUAAGAGCGACUGGUUGCUUGAUUCUGGAAAAACAUCUUCUGAAAAG